Molecule: unclassified non-coding RNA, 234 nt
Filed under: Trematosphaeria sp.
Lineage: Eukaryota; Fungi; Ascomycota; Dothideomycetes; Pleosporales; Trematosphaeriaceae
Description: partial internal transcribed spacer region
Rfam family: Eukaryotic small subunit ribosomal RNA (bases 1-46)
Source: RNAcentral
AAGUCGUAACAAGGUUUCCGUAGGUGAACCUGCGGAAGGAUCAUUACUGUUUGCGGGCCCCUGGUUGGCUGUCUGACAAGUAUGAAAACCCUUGCCCUCUUUUGCGCACCCUUAGUUUCCUCGGCAGCCAUGGCUGCCAGCGGGGACCCCAAAAAACCCUUCUUGCAAUACCUGUGAAACCUUCUGAAAAAUACCCAAUCGUUAAAACUUUCAACAAUGGAUCUCUUGGCUCUG